This 253-nucleotide ribosomal RNA is filed under the name uncultured bacterium. RNAcentral describes it as "partial 16S ribosomal RNA". It matches the Rfam family "Bacterial small subunit ribosomal RNA", at positions 524 to 776 of the family's 1533-position model. The record is from RNAcentral.
UACGUAGGUGGCAAGCGUUAUCCGGAUUUAUUGGGCGUAAAGGGAACGCAGGCGGUCUUUUAAGUCUGAUGUGAAGGCCUUCGGCUUAACUGGAGUAGUGCAUUGGAAACUGGGAGACUUGAGUGCAGAAGAGGAGAGUGGAACUCCAUGUGUAGCGGUGAAAUGCGUAGAUAUAUGGAAGAACACCAGUGGCGAAAGCGGCUCUCUGGUCUGUAACUGACGCUGAGGUUCGAAAGCGUGGGUAGCAAACAGG